RNAcentral lists this unclassified non-coding RNA (189 nucleotides) under uncultured Phlebia. RNAcentral's name for it is "sequence contains ITS2". The record is from RNAcentral. Lineage: Eukaryota; Fungi; Basidiomycota; Agaricomycetes; Corticiales; Corticiaceae.
AAUUAUCCACUUUCAAAACUUUUGUUAUGGAAGCUGGGACUUGGAGGUCGUGUCGGCUUAGGUCGACUCCUCUGAAAUGUAUUAGCGUGAAUCUUACGGAUCGCCUUCAGUGUGAUAAUUGUCUACGCUGUGGUGUGAAGUAUACUAGUGUUCGUGCUUCUAACCGUCCUUCGGGACAAUUACUUGACC